This 414-nucleotide RNase P RNA is filed under the name Candidatus Yanofskybacteria bacterium RIFCSPLOWO2_01_FULL_49_25. Its description in RNAcentral is "RNase P RNA component class A". It matches the Rfam family "Bacterial RNase P class A". From Rfam's summary of the family: Ribonuclease P (RNase P) is a ubiquitous endoribonuclease, found in archaea, bacteria and eukarya as well as chloroplasts and mitochondria. Lineage: Bacteria; Candidatus Yanofskyibacteriota. The record is from RNAcentral.
UUGGCAUGUCGGGUGAUCGCGCGAGUUCCGCUUCGGCGGGACAAGUGAGGAAAGUCCGAACACCAAUCAGCGCUACGCGCUGAUUGUGGGCAGCGGCUAACGGCCGCCGAGAGUACGAUUCGAUGUUUUUGUUCUUAAGACAAAAGUAGCGAAUCCAAGCUCAGGGAAAGUGGCACAGAGACUAUUCCGAUCCUCCUCCGGAGGACACGGGUGAAAAGGUCCCAACGGGAUCGCUCCAUUGCAAGAUGGAUGCGCGCUAAACCCUGCCCGGUGCAAGUACAGCGUCGCGAGCCAUACGGCUCCCUCGAAAAGUUCGUACGCAAAGAUCCAUCCAGUAAUGGACGGGCAAGACAAAUGAUCGCCGCCCUCGCCUUUGCGGGGGUACAGAAUUCGGCUUACAGAUAUGCCAAGUAU